CAACCCGGCGCGGGCGCGAACGUCGGUGGCAACGUUCGUCGGCCCGGCAGAGAAGUUCGUCGGCGAGGGCAGCCCGUCGUUCUAGGGUUAGGGCGCCGGAUGGGAGGACAACCGGGGGAGGAGCCGCCGGAGGGGAAGGCGAGGGGCAGGAGACCCCCUCCCGGCGGCGGGGUGGCUCGACCCGGCAGGUGCCGGCGGAGGGAGCCGAGACGCUGGCGUCGGGAGGGAGGCAUCGGGGGCUUGGGGGAAAGGAAAAACGAAACGUUGUGAUGGCUAGUGCUCCUAGUAGCUCCCAAGUUCCAAGUUCCCAAGCAUCAGGUGUUGUAGUGGCUGCAGCUGAUACAACAGAAGAUAAUGUUGUGCACAUUUCGGAUGGGGAGGAAGAAGCUCCUGCUGCUCCUGGUAAAAGGAGGAAACUUUUCUAAAGUGUGGAAUGACUUCGUUCAAGUUUGUGUUGAUGGAGAAUGGAAGGCCAAACGCAAUCAUUGUAGCAAGAAACUUUCAGCCGUCUCAAGGAAUGGUUUAUGUAUGUGCCGUGCCCCCAUACCACUGAAGUUAUUUGUGAUGCAUUGCACAAGUGCCUCCAGAGCUGGGAUAUUGAUCGGAGGGUAUCAACCGUGA
Molecule: long non-coding RNA, 621 nt
Organism: Panicum hallii
Lineage: Eukaryota; Viridiplantae; Streptophyta; Magnoliopsida; Poales; Poaceae
Exons: 3
Source: RefSeq, a predicted model, not a curated record